UCACCAGGUUUCUCAGGGCAGCUCUUGGCCAGGGCUUCACGGAGGCUCAGAACCGUAGCGUAGAUGAGAUUUCUCUGGGAAAUUACCUCGCCCAUGUGGGCAGCCACCGGCCACACCAUCACCAGCCAACAACCUCUCUAGCACCUUGGUCCACCAGCCUGGAGAAGCCCACUGUCCAGAAUAGACCGAACCAGCCACAGCGUCAGACAGCAGAGGCUCCAUAGCUGCCACGGCUCCUCGCGUACGGAGAGGCUGGGGCCAAGUCAGAGGAGAGCAGGAGGGGUGCGCUUUCGUUGGCCCUUCAUUGCAGCUCUGCAAGGAACUUGACACGUGCCUCCUGCUUGCAGGUCCUGAGGCCUGGAGCCACGGGCCAGCUGCGCACAUGUGGUGGGAUUCCAGCCAGACCUGCUCAGGGAAGGGCGAGGCCAUUCCCACGCCCAGAGCACCUGCAGAGCCUCUGCCGUCCUCUGCCGACAGCUGAGGCCCCUCACGUUCACACGGUUCGACUGCGUGAUGUUAACAGGCUGUUCCCUCUGAAAAGGACACGUGUGGAUAAACCAUUUAUGGACACCACGGUUCUGAUGAGCCGAGCAGAGGUUUCACCCCUGCGGUGGGCGCCAUUCCACCGACAUGCGUCCUGUAACAAAUGACAUAAAAUACAGCUGUUUUAAGGGCAGAGUCGUUGCUUAAAAUUGGAGGCCAAUUAAAA
This 709-nucleotide long non-coding RNA is filed under the name Equus caballus (horse). RNAcentral's name for it is "lncRNA (ENSECAG00000029834.2)". The record is from RNAcentral. Lineage: Eukaryota; Metazoa; Chordata; Mammalia; Perissodactyla; Equidae.